Molecule: long non-coding RNA, 914 nt
Organism: Homo sapiens (human)
Lineage: Eukaryota; Metazoa; Chordata; Mammalia; Primates; Hominidae
Source: Ensembl
UCUCAGACUUUGCGGGUGUCUCUAGCCCUGGCUGGAUUCUGCUCGCACCCCCCACACCCAUCUGAGGGGGCAGUUCAGAGCUGGCGGAGCAAGGCACACCCACAGCUUUGUGGGGGCCCGGGGCUGUGAGCUUUGUCUGGGGCCUGUGGGAGAGAGCUUGGCUUGAGCUCUCCUGGCUCUCUCCACAAAGAGUCUUCUCUGGGGAAAGCUAUGAGGAAGAAGAAACAGAGCGCUCCCGGGAAAUGUUGAAAAAGCAGAGCCCCAUUCAUCACAGCACAGGUUGAAGAGACCAGCUCUCCCCGAUAUUGGCAGAAUUUCCAUCACAGGAAUAAGCUUUUGAAAAGCAAACUGACAGAUGAGAGCAGUGAAAUCCACUGAGUGGGCCGUGGAGAACAGCUGUGUUUGAGAGGCAUCUCAGCGAUGUGAAUGAGGCCAGGAGGAGCCAUGAAGACGGCACUGCCUGUGGGGCCCCCGAUAAAUGAUGGCACUGAGCAAUUGGCAGGACUGUGGGCAUGGGAGGGGUCCCUAGGCCCCACCCCCCUCUGCUCCUGUUUGUGUAAUUAACAGCCCGCUUCCUAUCAGGUGCUCUGCCUUCAGUGCUCUCUGCUGCGGCUCUUACCAGCGAGGACUGGAGGGGCGGCUCCUUUACCUGCCCUGUCCUGGUUUUUGCUCCCGCCUGCCCCGUGAGCCAGGGGAUGCACUCACAGCUGCUCUUUUUGAUGUAUAAAGUGUGUUUGAACAUUAUGCCAAAUAUCAAAAUGUGAAGGACUAAUCCAGGAUGCAAAAACGUUAUGGGGGGUUGUAAAUACGAACUAUACAACAGUUUAGGAUGCAAUUAUGAGUGUAAACUGUGUGCCUUAUUUAUACUUCAUUGUCUCCAGCUUCUCAGAUAAAGUUUUGAUGUGUUGUACAGU